GACGAACGUUGGCGGCGUGCUUAAUACAUGCAAGUCAACUGAAGCAGUGGUAGCAAUAUCGCUGUGGAGGUGGCGCACGGGUGAGUAACACGUAGGUAAUCUGCCUUCAGGUCUGGCAUAACUCCGGGAAACCGGGGCUAAUAGCAGAUGAUGCAGCGGCUCGACAUCGAGACAGUUGUUAAAGCUAUGGCGCCUGAAGAUGAGCCUGCGUCUGAUUAGCUAGUUGGCGGGGUAACGGCCCACCAAGGCAACGAUCAGUAGCUGGUCUGAGAGGAUGAUCAGCCACACUGGAACUGAGACACGGUCCAGACUCCUACGGGAGGCAGCAGUAAGGAAUAUUGCUCAAUGGGAGAAAUCCUGAAGCAGCAACGCCGCGUGAGGGACGAAGGGCUUUUGCUUGUAAACCUCUGUAGUGAGAGAAAAAAAUCCCAAUCUUUGGGACAUGAUGGUAUCUCAAAAGCAAGCCCCGGCUAACUACGUG
This 481-nucleotide ribosomal RNA is filed under the name uncultured bacterium. RNAcentral describes it as "partial 16S ribosomal RNA". It matches the Rfam family "Bacterial small subunit ribosomal RNA", at positions 28 to 507 of the family's 1533-position model. The record is from RNAcentral.